This 203-nucleotide long non-coding RNA is filed under the name Elaeis guineensis (African oil palm). RNAcentral describes it as "long non-coding RNA (EGUI_LNC006689)". Lineage: Eukaryota; Viridiplantae; Streptophyta; Magnoliopsida; Arecales; Arecaceae. The record is from RNAcentral.
GCCUCACCACACUAUAAUGGGAAUAUUUGUGAUCUUUAGAUUUAGCGGCUAAAUUGGUUUAUGGUACACUGCUUUAGGCUUGGUCCUAUCUAGUUUAUAUUUAUUUUAAAGUUAAAAUAGUGGGUUGAUAGAUUCUAGAUUGUUUAUACAUGGAAAGAAAAGAGUACUUCAGCUUCCAACCAUUGUACUAGUCAUAUUCUACA